Long non-coding RNA from Oenanthe melanoleuca, 993 nucleotides. RefSeq lists it as uncharacterized. Lineage: Eukaryota; Metazoa; Chordata; Aves; Passeriformes; Muscicapidae. The record is from RefSeq and is a predicted model, not a curated record. The transcript is spliced from 4 exons.
UCCUGAUUCUAAUACUUGCUCUUCAAAGAGCUGAGCCAGUCCUUUUCACUGCCUUGGUUUUGUUAAUUUUAAAAUAGGUGGGAGUUUAUUGACUUGUGGAGGAUUAUAAUGGCUUCAUACUUGGAAGAUUGUUAUGGCAUGCUUGCAUCUCCUGCAUACACUUUGAGAAUGACAUUGAAAAAGUGGUUGCAAAGCAUGACUGGGAAACUGUAAGAUGCAUCUUCCAGUGAAGGACUUACAGAACUCCAUUUGUUUAGCUUCAUUGCACAGAAAGGUGGCUAGAAAGAAGCAUAACAAGAAGCAAUGGCUGGGAGUUAAAGCCAGACAAAAUCUAUUUGAAAGUGAAACUGUUGAGUUUGGGGGACAAUGGAUGUGAUUUUAACAGGGAGAGUGGUUAACUGCUGGGAUAAACCAACAAGCCCUUGAAGUUUUCAACAAAGAAGUGACUUUGCAGAAGGAGGAAGCAGAACUCAUGACCACCAGCAAGACUCAAUGGGCUGAUUAUCACCCUCUGCUCUGCACUCUGGCCCAGAGCACCCAGAAAGGCUCCCCCAUCUUAGCAGGCUCAGCUUCAACCAUGGAUUUCUGACUCCUCUCUCCUCAGCCCUGCAGGGUGCAGGGGGCAUGAGAGGUAGGGGGCUGUGCUCAAUGCAUAACACUUUGUGUGAUGCUCCCUCCUCAGACUGGUCCCUGGCUCCAACACUGACCUUUCCAUGGGCUGCAAUCCUUCAGGAAAAAUGGUCAAUGCCUGUGUGUGAUGCUGCUGGCCAGGCCUAGGUGCUGCUCUCCAGUUUUAAACCCUCAUGUUCAUUAUUUGGGGCAUCUGUCUGCUUGAAAACCAGUCUUUAAUUAAUUAUAUUGGAGUAAAUCAGGUAAAUAAUACUGUAUAGUCCAUCCUUCAGGGAAUUUUUGAACAUUUAACAGAGAAAAAAAUAUGAAUGUACUUCCAUUUUGCUGACAUACUUAUUUUUCAGGAGGGACCUCUUUAUAGCU